Molecule: unclassified non-coding RNA, 349 nt
Filed under: soil metagenome
Description: partial contains 5.8S ribosomal RNA, internal transcribed spacer 2, and large subunit ribosomal RNA
Rfam family: 5.8S ribosomal RNA (bases 1-120)
Source: RNAcentral
GAUGAAGAACGCAGCGAAAUGCGAUACGUAAUGUGAAUUGCAGAAUUCAGUGAAUCAUCGAGUCUUUGAACGCACAUUGCGCCCCCUGGUAUUCCGGGGGGCAUGCCUGUCCGAGCGUCAUUGCUGCCCUCAAGCACGGCUUGUGUGUUGGGCCUCCGCCCCCCGGCUCCCGGGGGGCGGGCCCGAAAGGCAGCGGCGGCACCGCGUCCGAUCCUCGAGCGUAUGGGGCUUCGUCACCCGCUCCGUAGGCCCGGCCGGCGCCCGCCGGCGACCCCCCUCAAUCUUUCCAGGUUGACCUCGGAUCAGGUAGGGAUACCCGCUGAACUUAAGCAUAUCAAUAAGCGGAGGA